This 24-nucleotide transfer RNA is filed under the name Ningaui timealeyi (Pilbara ningaui). Its description in RNAcentral is "partial tRNA-Pro". The record is from RNAcentral. Lineage: Eukaryota; Metazoa; Chordata; Mammalia; Dasyuromorphia; Dasyuridae.
GCAGGAAGUAGUUUAAUAAGAAUA